Molecule: long non-coding RNA, 423 nt
Filed under: Homo sapiens (human)
Lineage: Eukaryota; Metazoa; Chordata; Mammalia; Primates; Hominidae
Description: HSALNT0248886
Source: RNAcentral
AUGAGGUCAGGAGUUUGAGACCAGCCUGGACAAUAUAGUAAAACCCCAUCUCUACUAAAAAUACAAAAAUCAGCCGGGUGUGGUGGCACGCACCUGUAGUCCCAACUACUCAGGAGGCUGAGGCAGAAGAAUCGCUUGAACCCAGCGGAGGUUGCAGUGAACCGAGAUCACACCACUGCACUCCAGCCUGGGCAACGGAGCGAGACUCUGUCUCAAAAAAAAAAUGAGAAUGAUCAACCAAUGUAUACUUCAUAAAACUGAAACCUUAAUAAGCCCCAGACCCUUUAAAACCCUUAGCCACCAUUUGCCGUCUUAUUCCUGGCUUUAAGAGAUAUUCCAAGAUCUGCUAUAAGAGAUGGGCUGUGCCUGAUCUGGGUCCUAAAUGUGUCUUGACUCAAAACACACCUCCUCGGUGAGUUCCAG